This 747-nucleotide ribosomal RNA is filed under the name Triticum aestivum (bread wheat). RNAcentral's name for it is "partial small subunit ribosomal RNA". Lineage: Eukaryota; Viridiplantae; Streptophyta; Magnoliopsida; Poales; Poaceae. The record is from RNAcentral.
AUGGAAAACAACUGGAUUGUAUGGAACGUGAGGGGUUUGAACAACCUGGCUAGGAGAGCAGUAGUUAAGGAGUUUUUAUAUCGGAACAAUGUAUCCCUAGUAUGUUUGCAAGAAACAAAACUAUCCUUCAUCGAUAGAGCCAUGGUGAACCAGUGUUGUGGCACGGAGUUCUCUGAGUUUGCGUAUCUGCCGGCUAUUGGGUCUAGAGGAGGUGUGUUAAUGGCAUGGAAGGGUGACCACUACUCCAUGACCACCAUUGCAGUUCAAGGGUACAUGGUGGCGGCUGUGGGGAAAGAUGCCAAGGGGGCUCCAGUGGGUGUGAUUGGGUUGUAUGGCCCGCGGAUCUGGGAGGAGAAGCUUGGCUUCCUUCGUGAGCUCAAAAACACUAUUCAGGGCAGUACUCCCAAUGGCACGGCCCUUGCACUGAUCGGCGAUUUCAACCUCAUCACCGGAGCAGCCGACAAGAACAACCCGAGGAUCAACAGAUGCUGCAUCACUGCCUUCAGAAACUUCAUCAACGAACUUCAACUGAAGGAUCUAUAUCUCCAUGGACGUAGAUAUACAUGGAGCAAUGAGCAAGCAAACGCAACGAUGGUGAAGCUGGACAGAGUUCUCAUCAAUGGAGAGUGGAAGGAGACAAUGCCCAACUGCAUGCUUCAAGCUUUGUCCUCAGACAUCUCGGACCACUGUCCUCUCCUCCUCAACUGUGAGAUUGCAUUCCGUCAGCACAGAGCAUUCAGAUUCUAG